AUUGAACGCUGGCGGCAGGCUUAAUACAUGCAAGUCGAACGGUAACAGCAGAAAAGCUUGCUUUUUUGGCUGACGAGUGGCGGACGGGUGAGUAAUACCUAGGAAACUGCCUAAACGAGGGGGAUAACAUUUGGAAACGAGUGCUAAUACCGCAUAAUACUGAGAAGUCAAAGGUUGGUUUACCAAUCGCGUUUAGAUGUGCCUAGGAGGGAUUAGCUAGUUGGUGGGGUAAAGGCCUACCAAGGCGAUGAUCUCUAGCUGGUCUGAGAGGAUGACCAGCCACACUGGAACUGAGACACGGUCCAGACUCCUACGGGAGGCAGCAGUAGGGAAUAUUGCACAAUGGGGGGGAACCCUGAUGCAGCCAUGCCGCGUGUGUGAAGAAGGCC
This 389-nucleotide ribosomal RNA is filed under the name uncultured bacterium. RNAcentral's name for it is "bacterial SSU rRNA". It matches the Rfam family "Bacterial small subunit ribosomal RNA", at positions 30 to 416 of the family's 1533-position model. The record is from RNAcentral.